This 749-nucleotide ribosomal RNA is filed under the name Cryocola sp. RNAcentral describes it as "bacterial SSU rRNA". It matches the Rfam family "Bacterial small subunit ribosomal RNA", at positions 68 to 828 of the family's 1533-position model. The record is from RNAcentral. Lineage: Bacteria; Bacillati; Actinomycetota; Actinomycetes; Micrococcales; Microbacteriaceae.
GAUGAACCUGGAGCUUGCUCUGGGGGAUUAGUGGCGAACGGGUGAGUAACACGUGAGUAACCUGCCCUUGACUCUGGGAUAACCUCCGGAAACGGAAGCUAAUACCGGAUAUGACGUACGGAGGCAUCUCCUGUGCGUGGAAAGAAUUUUGGUCAAGGAUGGACUCGCGGCCUAUCAGGUAGUUGGUGAGGUAACGGCUCACCAAGCCUACGACGGGUAGCCGGCCUGAGAGGGUGACCGGCCACACUGGGACUGAGACACGGCCCAGACUCCUACGGGAGGCAGCAGUGGGGAAUAUUGCACAAUGGGCGCAAGCCUGAUGCAGCAACGCCGCGUGAGGGACGACGGCCUUCGGGUUGUAAACCUCUUUUAGUAGGGAAGAAGCGAAAGUGACGGUACCUGCAGAAAAAGCACCGGCUAACUACGUGCCAGCAGCCGCGGUAAUACGUAGGGUGCAAGCGUUGUCCGGAAUUAUUGGGCGUAAAGAGCUCGUAGGCGGUUUGUCGCGUCUGCUGUGAAAACCCGAGGCUCAACCUCGGGCCUGCAGUGGGUACGGGCAGACUAGAGUGCGGUAGGGGAGAAUGGAAUUCCUGGUGUAGCGGUGGAAUGCGCAGAUAUCAGGAGGAACACCGAUGGCGAAGGCAGUUCUCUGGGCCGUAACUGACGCUGAGGAGCGAAAGCGUGGGGAGCGAACAGGAUUAGAUACCCUGGUAGUCCACGCCGUAAACGUUGGGCGCUAGAUGUGGGGA